This 250-nucleotide unclassified non-coding RNA is filed under the name plant metagenome. Its description in RNAcentral is "partial contains small subunit ribosomal RNA, internal transcribed spacer 1, and 5.8S ribosomal RNA". The record is from RNAcentral.
GUAGGUGAACCUGCGGAAGGAUCAUUAACACGUUCCAAAACGUAUCAACCAAACGGUUAAGUGCAAACUUAUUCCCUAUCUGGGAAAGCUGUUCAACACUCCUUAGUGAUGGGUAAGUCUUCGGACUUGCAGGGAGGGUUGAGCUAGGGUCUCGAGCCCGGUGCUUUUCUUUAUAGGCUUUUUCCUUUUUUCUCCAUCACUUCCAACACACCAAUCUAACCCUCUUUAUAACCUUUGACUAAAUCUUUCG